RNAcentral lists this ribosomal RNA (460 nucleotides) under uncultured bacterium. RNAcentral's name for it is "partial 16S ribosomal RNA". It matches the Rfam family "Bacterial small subunit ribosomal RNA", at positions 338 to 795 of the family's 1533-position model. The record is from RNAcentral.
CCUACGGGGUGCAGCAGUGAGGAAUAUUGGUCAAUGGACGAGAGUCUGAACCAGCCAAGUAGCGUGAAGGAUGACUGCCCUAUGGGUUGUAAACUUCUUUUAUAUGGGAAUAAAAUGUUCCACGUGUGGGAUUUUGUAUGUACCAUAUGAAUAAGGAUCGGCUAACUCCGUGCCAGCAGCCGCGGUAAUACGGAGGAUCCGAGCGUUAUCCGGAUUUAUUGGGUUUAAAGGGAGCGUAGGUGGGUUGUUAAGUCAGUUGUGAAAGUUUGCGGCUCAACCGUAAAAUUGCAGUUGAAACUGGCAGUCUUGAGUACAGUAGAGGUGGGCGGAAUUCGUGGUGUAGCGGUGAAAUGCUUAGAUAUCACGAAGAACUCCGAUUGCGAAGGCAGUUCACUGGACUGCAACUGACGCUGAGGCUCGAAAGUGUGGGUAUCAAACAGGAUUAGAUACCCGGGUAGUC